RNAcentral lists this ribosomal RNA (652 nucleotides) under Micrococcus sp. Fa2-CH09. RNAcentral's name for it is "SSU rRNA". It matches the Rfam family "Bacterial small subunit ribosomal RNA", at positions 611 to 1260 of the family's 1533-position model. Lineage: Bacteria; Bacillati; Actinomycetota; Actinomycetes; Micrococcales; Micrococcaceae. The record is from RNAcentral.
AACCCCGGAUCUGCGGUGGGUACGGGCAGACUAGAGUGCAGUAGGGGAGACUGGAAUUCCUGGUGUAGCGGUGGAAUGCGCAGAUAUCAGGAGGAACACCGAUGGCGAAGGCAGGUCUCUGGGCUGUAACUGACGCUGAGGAGCGAAAGCAUGGGGAGCGAACAGGAUUAGAUACCCUGGUAGUCCAUGCCGUAAACGUUGGGCACUAGGUGUGGGGACCAUUCCACGGUUUCCGCGCCGCAGCUAACGCAUUAAGUGCCCCGCCUGGGGAGUACGGCCGCAAGGCUAAAACUCAAAGGAAUUGACGGGGGCCCGCACAAGCGGCGGAGCAUGCGGAUUAAUUCGAUGCAACGCGAAGAACCUUACCAAGGCUUGACAUGUUCUCGAUCGCCGUAGAGAUACGGUUUCCCCUUUGGGGCGGGUUCACAGGUGGUGCAUGGUUGUCGUCAGCUCGUGUCGUGAGAUGUUGGGUUAAGUCCCGCAACGAGCGCAACCCUCGUUCCAUGUUGCCAGCACGUAAUGGUGGGGACUCAUGGGAGACUGCCGGGGUCAACUCGGANGAAGGUGAGGACGACGUCAAAUCAUCAUGCCCCUUAUGUCUUGGGCUUCACGCAUGCUACAAUGGCCGGUACAAUGGGUUGCGAUACUGUGA